This 504-nucleotide long non-coding RNA is filed under the name Homo sapiens (human). Its description in RNAcentral is "non-protein coding lnc-AMY1B-1:4". Lineage: Eukaryota; Metazoa; Chordata; Mammalia; Primates; Hominidae. The record is from RNAcentral.
CGCUAUCUGGAGCUGACCGUGCGGCUCUUAAUCCCUGGCCUUGGGAAAGUGAAUUGGCCUGAAUAGCAAGGAGGAGAACUUGGGUGUGGAAAUACCGGAGAAUCUCACUCUAUUGCUCAGGCUGGAGUGCAGUGGCCACAAAGCGGGAGAUUGGCACGAGGGAUACCAACACCGGAAUAUGUGAUGAGAUGUGUGAAGAGCAUGGCAAUGGAUGCAAACUCCCUUUGUGUUUCUGGCUUUAAGCAGCUCUAUACUCUCAUGCUGUCCUACACUCAGCAGCAAUUUGUCACAAGUUUGGGAAAUUCUUCCUACUCUUUUGAACUCCAGCCCAAUUUCCUUUCUAUCACUGCCCUAGGUCUUACUCUUCCAGAAGAAAAAGGGAAAACCCAACCUGAAUGUCCCCUAAAAGUGAAGAAAUGUCCACACUUCUAUGUGCAGAUUGGUAUCUACAUACAGACCUCUUGGAGGAGUCAGACAAACAAGAUCUUGAAUCUUUACUGAUCU